RNAcentral lists this ribosomal RNA (433 nucleotides) under uncultured bacterium. RNAcentral describes it as "partial 16S ribosomal RNA". It matches the Rfam family "Bacterial small subunit ribosomal RNA", at positions 29 to 507 of the family's 1533-position model. The record is from RNAcentral.
AACGAACGCUGGCGGCAUGCCUAACACAUGCAAGUCGAACGAGACCUUCGGGUCUAGUGGCGCACGGGUGCGUAACGCGUGGGAACCUGCCCUUAGGUUCGGAAUAACUCCCCGAAAGGGGUGCUAAUACCGGAUAAUGUCUUCGGACCAAAGAUUUAUCGCCUUUGGAUGGGCCCGCGUUUGAUUAGCUAGUUGGUAGGAUAAAAGCCUACCAAGGCGACGAUCCAUAGCUGGUCUGAGAGGAUGAUCAGCCACACUGGGACUGAGACACGGCCCAGACUCCUACGGGAGGCAGCAGUGGGGAAUAUUGGACAAUGGGCGAAAGCCUGAUCCAGCAAUGCCGCGUGAGUGAUGAAGGCCUUAGGGUUGUAAAGCUCUUUUACCCGGGAUGAUAAUGACAGUACCGGGAGAAUAAGCUCCGGCUAACUCCGUG